RNAcentral lists this ribosomal RNA (254 nucleotides) under uncultured bacterium. Its description in RNAcentral is "partial 16S ribosomal RNA". It matches the Rfam family "Bacterial small subunit ribosomal RNA", at positions 333 to 579 of the family's 1533-position model. The record is from RNAcentral.
ACUUGCCUACGGGAGGCAGCAGUAGGGAAUCUUCCACAAUGGACGAAAGUCUGAUGGAGCAACGCCGCGUGAGUGAAGAAGGGUUUCGGCUCGUAAAGCUCUGUUGGUAGUGAAGAAAGAUAGAGGUAGUAACUGGCCUUUUUUUGACGGUAAUUACUUAGAAAGUCACGGCUAACUACGUGCCAGCAGCCGCGGGAAUACGUAGGUGGCAAGCGUUGUUCGGGUUUAUUGGGCGUAAAGCGAGUUCAGGCGGU